GUUGACAUUGACAAAACCCUAGAACAAUUGAGAACUCUCCAAGACCAUGUGGGGUGUGUCCCCAAUUCCAUUUCCGCCAUUCUUUCCUGUCAUUCCUAGACCCACCAAAGCACUCGUUUCCCUCACGGUCUCUGCAACCUCUAAGCCCUUUCGCCAACGCUCUUCCCCUAACCCAAAUCAGCAGAAGCAACGAAUACGAAAGCACGAACCAGAAAACGAUAAUCAAAGAGGAGCAGCAACCAAUCAGCUGACUGGGUUAGAUGUGCUUUGGGCUAUGAAGAGAGCGGCUGCUGAGAAAAACAGAGCAGCUGCUACUACUAAUAAAAAGAAUAGGAAGAGAAAAGGAUUACUCUCUGCAGACGGCCAGAGGGAGGAGUACGCUGUCGACUAUAGCAAUGUCAGGCCUUUGUGCAUAAAGAGCGAGUGGGGUGCUCGGUUGGACGAAUUGGAGAAGCGACUUCAGGAGAUUUCUGAGACCAAAUGAAGAAAUUUUAGGCUAUUGUACUCAAGUAUCGUGGUUGAAUGCUUUUUAACUACUCAACGUUUCCCCACUUCUUUUUCCUUUGGCCUGCUUACUGUGAAUAAAAGGAUAUAAAUUUUGUUUUUAUGUGAUGUUUGAUUGCUGAGAAAAUUUAAGACCUAUGUUUCAUGUUAUAAUUCUGAAUUUAGCAAAGUUAGAAUGUUGACGUAUUUUGGUAUUUGAUCGUCUUGUUCUGUAUGUUUCCCUUUAUUCAACAGGCAAAGCUCCCAUCUUUAACGGCAUUCAGGAGCUGUAUCUCAG
This 781-nucleotide unclassified non-coding RNA is filed under the name Hevea brasiliensis (rubber tree). Lineage: Eukaryota; Viridiplantae; Streptophyta; Magnoliopsida; Malpighiales; Euphorbiaceae. The record is from RNAcentral.